GACGAACCGUACGAACGUUAUUCGGAAUUACUGGGCUUAAAGGGCGCGUAGGCGGCUAGAUGUGUCAAAGGUGAAAUCCCUCGGCUCAACUGAGGAACUGCCUUUGAAACUGUCUGGCUUGAGGCCGGGAGAGGGUAGCGGAAUUCCCAGUGUAGCGGUGAAAUGCGUAGAUAUUGGGAGGAACACCAGUGGCGAAGGCGGCUACCUGGACCGGUUCUGACGCUGAGGCGCGAAAGCGUGGGUAGCAAACGGG
This 253-nucleotide ribosomal RNA is filed under the name uncultured bacterium. RNAcentral's name for it is "partial 16S ribosomal RNA". It matches the Rfam family "Bacterial small subunit ribosomal RNA", at positions 524 to 776 of the family's 1533-position model. The record is from RNAcentral.